CAAGUCGAACGGCACCCCUCUCCGGAGGGAAGCGAGUGGCGAACGGCUGAGUAACACGUGGAGAACCUCGCCCCCUCCCCCGGGAUAGCCGCCCGAAAGGACGGGUAAUACCGGAUACCCCCGGGCGCCGCAUGGCGCCCGGGCUAAAGCCCCGACGGGAGGGGAUGGCUCCGCGGCCCAUCAGGUAGACGGCGGGGUGACGGCCCACCAAGCCUUCGAUGGAUAGGGGUUCUGAGAGGAAGGUCCCCCACAUUGGAACUGAGACACGGUCCAAACUCCUACGGGAGGCAGCAUG
RNAcentral lists this ribosomal RNA (295 nucleotides) under uncultured bacterium. RNAcentral describes it as "partial 16S ribosomal RNA". It matches the Rfam family "Bacterial small subunit ribosomal RNA", at positions 58 to 353 of the family's 1533-position model. The record is from RNAcentral.